Cyprinus carpio (common carp) is the source of this 2232-nucleotide long non-coding RNA. The record is from Ensembl. Lineage: Eukaryota; Metazoa; Chordata; Actinopteri; Cypriniformes; Cyprinidae.
AUGUGCUGUUCAGAUCUAGAAGUGCUUUUUGUCAACUGCAAGCCAUUCUAUUCGCCGCGGGAGUUUCACUCGUUCAUUCUGGUGAGCGUUUACAUCCCUCCACAAGCGCACGUAAGCCUGGCUUUACAGAAACUCGCUGACCAGAUCACAGAGACAGAACAACAACACCCGGACUCUGUUUUAAUCAUUCUUGGGGACUUUAAUAAAGCCAAUCUCUCCCGUGAACUGCCAAAAUACAGACAGCAUGUUACAUGUCCCACAAGAGACAGUAAUAUAUUGGAUCACUGUUACACCACAAUAAAGGAUGCAUAUCACUCUGUUCCACGAGCAGCUUUGGGACUGUCUGAUCACUGUCUGGUUCAUCUUAUACCAACCUACAGGCAGAAACUUAAAUCUGCUAAACCUGUAGUAAAGACUGUAAAGAGAUGGACCAACGAAACAGAGCAGGAUUUACAAGCCUGUUUUGACCUCACUGAUUGGAGUGUUUUUGAAGCUGCUACCACCAAUCUGGACGAACUCACAGAGACCGUAACAUCAUAUAUUAGUUUUUGUGAGGAUAUAUGCAUUCCUACCAGGACUUAUUUAACAUUCAACAAUGAUAAGCCAUGGUUUACAGCAAAACUCAGACAUCUUCGUCAGGCCAAAGAGGAUGCCUACAGAAAUGGGGACAGAGUCUUGUACAAUCAGGCCAGGAACACACUGAACAAAGAGAUUAGAGCGGCUAAAAAGACCUACGCUAAAAAGUUGGAAGACCAGUUUACUUCCAACGACUCAACUUCAGUGUGGAGUGGACUGAGAGCCAUCACUAAUUACAAGACACCAUCCUCCUGCACUGAGGCUAAUCAACGACUUGUUAACGACCUGAAUGAGUUUUAUUGUAGAUUUGAAACCCCCAACACCCAUUCUGACCAUCUCUCUACACAACCGUUAACACCUCCUGCAAUCCCCCUCUCCACACCUCCUGCUCUUCAAAUCUGUGAAGAUGAUGUGCGCCAGGUCUUCAGGAAGAACAAAAGAAGAAAAGCACCAGGCCCAGAUGGCGUUACACCAGCCUGUUUGAAAACCUGUGCUGACCAGCUGGCCCCCAUCUUUUCACAGAUCUUCAACAGAUCUCUGGAGUUGUGUGAAGUGCCUUCCUGCUUCAAACGCUCCACCAUCAUCCCCAUUCCAAAGAAACCCAAGAUUACAGGACUUAACGACUACAGACCUGUGGCUCUAACAUCUGUCGUCAUGAAGUCGUUUGAAAAACUGGUUCUGGCUUAUCUGAAGGACAUCACUGGACCCUUACUGGACCCCCUGCAGUUUGCUUACCGAGCAAACAGGUCUGUGGAUGAUGCAAUCAACAUGGGAUUGCACUUCAUCCUGCAACAUCUGGACAAAACAGGGACUUAUGUGAGGAUCCUGUUUGUGGACUUCAGUUCGGCUUUCAACACCAUCAUCCCAACAGUCCUCCAGACCAAACUGACCCAGCUCUCUGUUCCUAGUUCUAUCUGUCAGUGGAUCACCAGCUUUCUGACAGAUAGGCAACAGCUAGUGAGACUGGGGAAAUUCAUGUCCAACAGCUGCUCCACCAACACUGGUGCCCCUCAGGGAUGUGUUCUCUCCCCCCUGCUCUUCUCGCUGUACACCAACGACUGCACCUCAAAAGACCCCUUUGUCAAGCUCCUGAAGUUUGCAGACGACACCACACUCAUCGGUCUCAUCCAGGACGGUGACGAGUCUGCUUACAGACAAGAGGUUGAGCAGCUGGCUGUCUGGUGCAGUCUUAACAACCUGGAGCUGAACACGCUCAAAACAGUGGAGAUGAUCGUGGACUUCAGAAGAAACCCCCCUGCACUCCCCCCACUCACCAUCAUGAACAGCACUGUGGCUGCAGUGGAGUCAUUCAGAUUCCUGGGAACCACCAUCUCUCAGGACCUGAAGUGGGACAAUCACAUUGACUCCAUUGUUAAAAAGGCCCAACAAAGGCUGUACUUCCUUCGCCAGCUGAGGAAGUUUAACCUGCCACAGGAGCUGCUGAAACAGUUCUACUCAGCCGUCAUUGAGUCUGUCCUGUGCACUUCAAUAACUGUGUGGUUUGGUUCAGCUACAAAAUCAGACAUCAGAAGACUACAGAGAACGGUUCGGACUGCUGAAAGAAUUAUUGGUGCUCCCCUGCCCACCCUUCAAGAACUGUAUACAUCCAGAGUGAGGAAAAGGGCUCAGAAAAUCACUCUGGAUCCCUCUUUUUGA